This 307-nucleotide ribosomal RNA is filed under the name uncultured bacterium. RNAcentral's name for it is "partial 16S ribosomal RNA". It matches the Rfam family "Bacterial small subunit ribosomal RNA", at positions 506 to 807 of the family's 1533-position model. The record is from RNAcentral.
AGACAGCAGCAGCCGCGGUAAUACGUAGGUGGCAAGCGUUGUCCGGAAUUAUUGGGCGUAAAGGGCUCGCAGGCGGUUUCUUAAGUCUGAUGUGAAAGCCCCCGGCUCAACCGGGGAGGGUCAUUGGAAACUGGGAAACUUGAGUGCAGAAGAGGAGAGUGGAAUUCCACGUGUAGCGGUGAAAUGCGUAGAGAUGUGGAGGAACACCAGUGGCGAAGGCGACUCUCUGGUCUGUAACUGACGCUGAGGAGCGAAAGCGUGGGGAGCGAACAAGAUUAGAUACCCCUGUAGUCCCUGUCUCUUAUAC